Molecule: ribosomal RNA, 253 nt
Filed under: uncultured bacterium
Lineage: Bacteria
Description: partial 16S ribosomal RNA
Rfam family: Bacterial small subunit ribosomal RNA
Source: RNAcentral
UACAGAGGUCCCGAGCGUUGUUCGGAUUCACUGGGCGUAAAGGGUGCGUAGGUGGCAGGGUAAGUCGGAUGUGAAAGCUCUGAGCUCAACUCCGAAAUGGCAUUGGAAACUACCCAGCUCGAGGGUUGGAGGGGGGACUGGAAUGCUUGGUGUAGCAGUGAAAUGCGUAGAUAUCAAGCGGAACACCAGUGGCGAAGGCGAGUCCCUGGACAACUCCUGACACUGAGGCACGAAAGCUAGGGGAGCAAACAGG